AACGAACGCUGGCGGCGUGGAUAAGACAUGCAAGUCGAACGGGACUAAAUCUGUAGCAAUACAGGUUUAGUUUAGUGGCGAACGGGUGCGUAACACGUGGGGAAUCUGCCGAGAAGUGGGGGAUAGCUCGCCGAAAGGCGAAUUAAUACCGCAUAUGGUCAGUGAAGACAUCUUCACAACACCAAAGCCGGGGCAACCUGGCGCUUUUUGAUGACCCCGCGGCCUAUCAGCUAGUUGGGAGGUAA
This 245-nucleotide ribosomal RNA is filed under the name uncultured bacterium. RNAcentral describes it as "partial 16S ribosomal RNA". It matches the Rfam family "Bacterial small subunit ribosomal RNA", at positions 29 to 260 of the family's 1533-position model. The record is from RNAcentral.